Molecule: unclassified non-coding RNA, 267 nt
Filed under: Hevea brasiliensis (rubber tree)
Lineage: Eukaryota; Viridiplantae; Streptophyta; Magnoliopsida; Malpighiales; Euphorbiaceae
Source: RNAcentral
GAUUUUUCUGAGUGCUUAAAACCAUUCCACUGUGGACUCCUGUCAAAUCUUAGUUAUCCUUUCUGGGAUGAUAGCCGAUCUGAAAUCUGUGGUUUUCUAGGGUUGAAGCUCCGGUGCCAAGAAGGUAAGCGCCCUGUUAUAUCUAUAAAUAAUGAAGAAUUUUAUGUAAAGUCCGUAGAUCAACCCCAACAUGUGAUGACCAUUGCUCUAUGGGAGAAUGUUUGUCCUCUUGAUAAUAUCUCCCAAAUUCCUGACACAAGUCUAAAC